Molecule: ribosomal RNA, 424 nt
Filed under: uncultured delta proteobacterium
Lineage: Bacteria; Deltaproteobacteria
Also listed under: 1 other name
Description: bacterial SSU rRNA
Rfam family: Bacterial small subunit ribosomal RNA
Source: RNAcentral
AACGCGAAGAACCUUACCGAGGCUUGACAUCCCGCGCCAUCCUACGAAAGUAGGCUUCCGGGCAACCGGACGCGGAGACAGGUGCUGCAUGGCUGUCGUCAGCUCGUGCCGUGAGGUGUUGGGUUAAGUCCCGCAACGAGCGCAACCCUCGUCGUGUGUUGGUCCGCAAGGAUCUCUCACGCGAGACCGCCGAUGAGAAGUCGGAGGAAGGUGGGGAUGACGUCAAGUCAGCAUGGCCCUUACGUCUCGGGCUACACACGUGCUACAAUGGGUAGGACAACGGGCUGCGAGCUAGUGAUAGUAAGCUAAUCCCUUAAACCUGCCCUCAGUUCGGAUCGAAGGCUGCAACUCGCCUUCGUGAAGUCGGAAUCGCUAGUAAACGCAGAUCAGCUACGCUGCGUUGAAUACGUUCCCGGGCCUUGUA